Molecule: ribosomal RNA, 260 nt
Filed under: uncultured bacterium
Lineage: Bacteria
Description: partial 16S ribosomal RNA
Rfam family: Bacterial small subunit ribosomal RNA
Source: RNAcentral
UACAGGGGGUGCAAGCGUUGCUCGGAAUCACUGGGCGUAAAGCGUACGCAGGCGGACUGUUAAGUCGGGUGUGAAAGCCCGGGGCUCAACCCCGGACUGCACUCGAAACUGGCAGUCUUGAAUACGGGAGAGGUGAGUGGAAUUCCUGGUGUAGAGGUGAAAUUCGUAGAUAUCAGGAGGAACACCGGUGGCGAAAGCGGCUCACUGGCCCGAUAUUGACGCUCAUGUACGAAAGCGCGGGGAGCAAACAGGAUUAGAAA